RNAcentral lists this small RNA (77 nucleotides) under Xanthomonas citri. RNAcentral describes it as "sX9 sRNA". It matches the Rfam family "Xanthomonas sRNA sX9". RNAcentral also lists the same sequence under 6 other names. Lineage: Bacteria; Pseudomonadati; Pseudomonadota; Gammaproteobacteria; Lysobacterales; Lysobacteraceae. The record is from RNAcentral.
AUGUACCACUCCUACACUGCGGUUCUGAGCGCGCCGUCCGCGCCCACCUGACGGCUGCUCGCUACGUUUUGUUGGCU